Non-coding RNA from Thamnophis elegans (Western terrestrial garter snake), 504 nucleotides. The record is from the annotation of a RefSeq genome assembly. Lineage: Eukaryota; Metazoa; Chordata; Lepidosauria; Squamata; Natricidae.
AUGAUCCCCUGGCUUAAUUUGGCGUCCUUGUUGGUCCUCAUUCAAGGAGUCGAGUCUCAAGUCCAGUUUAUAGAGUCUGGAGGGGAUGUGAGAAGACCUGGAGAGUCCCUCCGUCUCUCCUGCCAAGCCUCUGGAUUCACCUUCAGCAGCUACUGGAUGCACUGGAUGAGACAGGCUCCAGGGAAAGGAUUGGAAUGGGUGGCUGGAAUAAAUUCAGCUUCAUCUCCUUCCGCAUACUACCCAGACAAAGUGAAGGGACGCUUCACCAUCUCCAGGGACAAUGCCAAAAGCCAGCUGUAUCUGCAAAUGAGCAAUCUGAAACCAGAGGAUACAGCAGUUUAUUACUGUGCAAGAGACACAGUGAGAGGAAGUGAAGGGAACCUCUGCAUUUGCAGUUACAAGGAAUCAAUAAUGGUUCAUAGAGCUCACAAUACGGAGUUGGGAGUUGGGUGUGACAGUCAACAGGGAAUGGACUGGAAUGGAUUGUAUGAUGCCAGUAAAUAA